RNAcentral lists this long non-coding RNA (598 nucleotides) under Androctonus crassicauda. Lineage: Eukaryota; Metazoa; Arthropoda; Arachnida; Scorpiones; Buthidae. The record is from RNAcentral.
GCCGAAGCGAGAUUGUUCUCGUUCGCCACCGUGCCCGAAAUGUGGAGGUAAGUGCGUGCAUGUAUGUCUAAUUUUCAGCAAUAGCACUAUAUUGAAGUAUGCAGGAAGCAAUAAUCUUCCCAGGACCCCUAAAUGGGCACGUUGACGGCAUCACUGCAUGUACGACGUGGAAAUAAUGUGUACGUUUAUUUCCAGGACCGACACGAUCAAGAACUGAUAAAAUAUUUGAGUUUAGAUUCGCUUAUGCAAACAUCGCCACUAAGCAGAUACACAAACUCGAAGAAAGGCAAAAAGAUCUCGUGCAGACCUGCACUGGGAGCGUGUCGUCAGCACACAACGUUUUUAGCCAGAUUAGGGCAUCCACGAUGCAGGUAGAUGGGGCAAGAUAGUUAUAUCCGGCUACAUGCGAUACGGAUGCAUCGUAUUUGGAGGUGCAUCAGCUUCAUAUCCAAGUAAUGCAACUUUUUCCAUGUAUUUUCAGGUGCUGCAGUUGAUGUAUUCUUGGGUGGCUAAUUUUUCACUCAAACAUGCAGCGCAGAGAAAAGAGUUUCGAAGAAGACUGCUGUGGAUUUUUACGUCUUGUGUCGUGAGAUUGCCG